AUUGAACGCUGGCGGAAUGCUUUACACAUGCAAGUCGAACGGCAGCACGGGGGCAACCCUGGUGGCGAGUGGCGAACGGGUGAGUAAUACAUCGGAACGUGCCCGGUCGUGGGGGAUAACGUAGCGAAAGUUACGCUAAUACCGCAUACGAUCUGAGGAUGAAAGCGGGGGACCUUCGGGCCUCGCGCGAUCGGAGCGGCCGAUGCCAGAUUAGGUAGUUGGUGGGGUAAAGGCCUACCAAGCCGACGAUCUGUAGCUGGUCUGAGAGGACGACCAGCCACACUGGGACUGGGACACGGCCCAGACUCCUACGGGAGGCAGCAGUGGGGAAUUUUGGACAAUGGGCGCAAGCCUGAUCCAGCCAUUCCGCGUGCAGGACGAAGGCCUUCGGGUUGUAAACUGCUUUUGUAUGGAACGAAAAGGCUCUGGCUAAUACCUGGGGCUCAUGACGGUACCGUAAGAAUAAGCACCGGCUAACUACGUG
Molecule: ribosomal RNA, 484 nt
Filed under: uncultured bacterium
Lineage: Bacteria
Description: partial 16S ribosomal RNA
Rfam family: Bacterial small subunit ribosomal RNA
Source: RNAcentral